UUGGAGGGCAAGUCUGGUGCCAGCAGCCGCGGUAAUUCCAGCUCCAAUAGCGUAUAUUAAAGUUGCUGCAGUUAAAAAGCUCGUAGUUGAAUUUCGGGACCAUCAUGUCGGUCGUGCCUCGGUACGUACUGGUAUUGUUGGUUUCUCCCUUCUGACGAACCAUGAUGUCAUUUAUUUGGUGUUGUGGGGAAUCAGGACUGUUACUUUGAAAAAAUUAGAGUGUUUAAAGCAGGCUCACGCUUGAAUACAUUAGCCUGGAAUAAUGAAAUAGGACGUUCGAUCCUAUUUUGUUGGUUUCUAGGAUCAACGUAAUGAUUAAUAGGGAUAGUUGGGGGCAUUAGUAUUCAAUUGUCAGAGGUGAAAUUCUUGGAUUUAUUGAAGACUAACUACUGCGAAAGCAUUUGCCAAGGAUGUUUUCAUUAAUCAAGAACGAAAGUUAGGGGAUCGAAGACGAUCAGAUACCGUCGUAGUCUUAACCAUAAACUAUGCCGACUAGGGAUCGGAUGGUGUUAAUUUUUUAAUGACUCAUUCGGCGCCUUACGGGAAAC
RNAcentral lists this ribosomal RNA (548 nucleotides) under uncultured Glomeromycotina. RNAcentral's name for it is "SSU rRNA". It matches the Rfam family "Eukaryotic small subunit ribosomal RNA", at positions 548 to 1098 of the family's 1831-position model. The record is from RNAcentral. Lineage: Eukaryota; Fungi; Glomeromycota.